GAGGUUGUGGCUCAGUGAUAGAGUGUUUACCUGGAACGUGUGAGGCUCUGGGUUCAAUUCUCAGCACCACA
RNAcentral lists this transfer RNA (71 nucleotides) under Marmota monax (woodchuck). RNAcentral describes it as "tRNA.Ser". It matches the Rfam family "tRNA". From Rfam's summary of the family: Transfer RNA (tRNA) molecules are approximately 80 nucleotides in length. Their secondary structure includes four short double-helical elements and three loops (D, anti-codon, and T loops). Further hydrogen bonds mediate the characteristic L-shaped molecular structure. tRNAs have two regions of fundamental functional importance: the anti-codon, which is responsible for specific mRNA codon recognition, and the 3' end, to which the tRNAs corresponding amino acid is attached (by aminoacyl-tRNA synthetases). tRNAs cope with the degeneracy of the genetic code in two manners: having more than one tRNA (with a specific anti-codon) for a particular amino acid; and 'wobble' base-pairing, i.e. permitting non-standard base-pairing at the 3rd anti-codon position. Lineage: Eukaryota; Metazoa; Chordata; Mammalia; Rodentia; Sciuridae. The record is from RNAcentral.